CAAUAGCGUAUAUUAAAGUUGUUGCGGUUAAAAAGCUCGUAGUUGGAUUUCUGCUGAGAACGACCGGUCCGCCCUUUGGGUGUGUAUCUGGCUCUUUCUUGGCAUCUUCUUGGUGAACGUUGCUGCACUUGACUGUGUGGAGCGCUACCCAGGACUUUUACUUUGAGGAAAUUAGAGUGUUUCAAGCAGGCAUACGCCUUGAAUACAUUAGCAUGGAAUAAUAAGAUAGGAUCUCGGUUCUAUUUUGUUGGUUUCUAGAGCUGAGGUAAUGAUUAAUAGGGAUAGUUGGGGGCAUUCGUAUUUAACUGUCAGAGGUGAGAUUCUUGGAUUUGUUAAAGACGGACUACUGCGAAAGCAUUUGCCAAGGAUGUUUUCAUUG
This 379-nucleotide ribosomal RNA is filed under the name uncultured eukaryote. Its description in RNAcentral is "partial 18S ribosomal RNA". It matches the Rfam family "Eukaryotic small subunit ribosomal RNA", at positions 592 to 975 of the family's 1831-position model. The record is from RNAcentral.